This 73-nucleotide transfer RNA is filed under the name Camelus bactrianus (Bactrian camel). It matches the Rfam family "tRNA". Rfam says of the family: Transfer RNA (tRNA) molecules are approximately 80 nucleotides in length. Their secondary structure includes four short double-helical elements and three loops (D, anti-codon, and T loops). Lineage: Eukaryota; Metazoa; Chordata; Mammalia; Artiodactyla; Camelidae. RNAcentral also lists the same sequence under 3 other names. The record is from Rfam by way of RNAcentral.
GAAGGUACAGCUCAAGUAGUAGAGCACGUGCUUAGCAUGCGCAAGACUCUGGGUUCAAUCCCCAGUACCUCCU